UACGUAGGGUGCAAGCGUUGUCCGGAAUUAUUGGGCGUAAAGCGCGUGUAGGCGGCGUGACAAGUCGGGUGUGAAAGCCCUCAGCUCAACUGAGGAAGUGCGCCCGAAACUGUCGUGCUUGAGUGCCGGAGAGGGUGGCGGAAUUCCCCAAGUAGAGGUGAAAUUCGUAGAUAUGGGGAGGAACACCGGUGGCGAAGGCGGCCAACUGGUCCGGUACUGACGCUGAGGUGCGAAAGCGUGGGGAGCAAACAGG
RNAcentral lists this ribosomal RNA (253 nucleotides) under uncultured bacterium. Its description in RNAcentral is "partial 16S ribosomal RNA". It matches the Rfam family "Bacterial small subunit ribosomal RNA", at positions 524 to 776 of the family's 1533-position model. The record is from RNAcentral.